Long non-coding RNA from Globicephala melas (long-finned pilot whale), 386 nucleotides. RefSeq lists it as uncharacterized. The record is from RefSeq and is a predicted model, not a curated record. NCBI's taxonomy places the organism in Eukaryota, Metazoa, Chordata, Mammalia, Artiodactyla, Delphinidae.
UCUGAAUAGCAACCGUGCCAACAGGAGAGGCACCUGGAGGGCUGGCGUCAGCAGUGGCACCAAUGGUGCGGCCAGCACCAGCAUGCUCGAUGGCCCCAGCACCAGCUCCACCAUCCGGACCAGAAACGCCGCCAGAACCAGUGCCAGCUUCUUCUCCUGGAUUCAGUAAGAUUGGAGGCAGCGCUGAGGAGCUGCAGCAGCCCCCUGCCGAGCCAGAGUGCCUCCUCUGCCCCCCGCCCCCCGACAGAGCACUCUAGGCAGCUACUCCCCGUCCAUGGAAGAUGGCAUGCCAGAUGACGCGCUCUCUGCCCUUCCUGCUUUCCUGUGUGCUUUUUGUCGUGCUGUCGUGUUUUGGGUAUCAGUAUUGCAUUAAAGUUGCAAAAUCA